This 524-nucleotide ribosomal RNA is filed under the name Anaplasma marginale. Its description in RNAcentral is "bacterial SSU rRNA". It matches the Rfam family "Bacterial small subunit ribosomal RNA", at positions 85 to 644 of the family's 1533-position model. Lineage: Bacteria; Pseudomonadati; Pseudomonadota; Alphaproteobacteria; Rickettsiales; Anaplasmataceae. The record is from RNAcentral.
UGUAUGGUUAGUGGCAGACGGGUGAGUAAUGCAUAGGAAUCUACCUAGUAGUAUGGGAUAGCCACUAGAAAUGGUGGGUAAUACUGUAUAAUCCCUGCGGGGGAAAGAUUUAUCGCUAUUAGAUGAGCCUAUGUCAGAUUAGCUAGUUGGUGGGGUAAUGGCCUACCAAGGCGGUGAUCUGUAGCUGGUCUGAGAGGAUGAUCAGCCACACUGGAACUGAGACACGGUCCAGACUCCUACGGGAGGCAGCAGUGGGGAAUAUUGGACAAUGGGCGCAAGCCUGAUCCAGCUAUGCCGCGUGAGUGAGGAAGGCCUUAGGGUUGUAAAACUCUUUCAGUAGGGAAGAUAAUGACGGUACCUACAGAAGAAGUCCCGGCAAACUCCGUGCCAGCAGCCGCGGUAAUACGGAGGGGGCAAGCGUUGUUCGGAAUUAUUGGGCGUAAAGGGCAUGUAGGCGGUUUGGUAAGUUAAAGGUGAAAUACCAGGGCUUAACCCUGGGGCUGCUUUUAAUACUGCAGGACUAG